Molecule: long non-coding RNA, 405 nt
Filed under: Struthio camelus australis
Lineage: Eukaryota; Metazoa; Chordata; Aves; Struthioniformes; Struthionidae
Description: lncRNA (ENSSCUG00000004673.1)
Source: RNAcentral
GUUUGGUAUCACAAAUGUCUACUUUUAACUCAGGAAUAGAUGUCUUUCUAAAGUCUUUGUGCUAAUCGAAUUGCAAGCUUUUGCCUAUGAAAAAAGGAUUAUUAACAUUCUGGGAUCUGUAUGCUUCAGAGAGCACAUCGGAUGUCCAUAUUAGUUUUUUCUGGCCUUAUAAUCCUGGCUUUGUUUACGUUUUCAGAAGAAGCUUGUGUGAACUCAUGACUGAAAUGAAACUUGCCCAUUUUGAAUCAUGUUUUCAUGCCUGCAAGCAAGACUCAGAGAUGGAGGACAAGAAUUUUCUAAAAGCAUAUUCAAGAAAGGAUGAAGCCAAAAUACUUUUGCAUCUAAAAUCAAGACUGAAGUGCUGAAGGUUCCAGCGGUGUCAAGAGAGAUGCAUUUACGUAUGGC